AAACAUGAACAUAAGACUACGAUUUGCAUACCCCAAACAAAAUAACAAAACCCAGAAGAUAAAAACCCCAAAACAUGACUAAAUUAAUCCAAAUCUGCAUGCAUUCUUCAAGCGAGGACCUUUGGUGAAGAAGAGUCGAGGAGGCCACUCCAUAGCCAAACCAGCGAUUGCAGUUCCCUCCUAUAGUGUAUAACCCAAUCAAACUACGAACAUAGCUUCAUA
This 222-nucleotide long non-coding RNA is filed under the name Brassica rapa (field mustard). RNAcentral describes it as "long non-coding RNA (BRAP_LNC002489)". The record is from RNAcentral. Lineage: Eukaryota; Viridiplantae; Streptophyta; Magnoliopsida; Brassicales; Brassicaceae.